RNAcentral lists this unclassified non-coding RNA (299 nucleotides) under Hevea brasiliensis (rubber tree). Lineage: Eukaryota; Viridiplantae; Streptophyta; Magnoliopsida; Malpighiales; Euphorbiaceae. The record is from RNAcentral.
UUAAUGGCAUAGCCAUUGAAAUAUCUGAAGUUGAGGCCAUUUCUUUCUCUGAUCUUUGGUUCUGCUCUCUCUAGGCCACCGCCUUUCUUUCUAUGAAUUUACUGUCCAAAUUGGAAAGAUGGGAUUCUUAAGGGUGUUUUUGAGAGUAGGGGAAGGGAAUGUAAUGAAAGGUGGAAAAUUGAGAUACCAGGGGAACGUGCCGUCUUGAUCGCUGUCCUAUGUGGCAGCUUCGCUGUUAGGAAUUGGUGGAUAAGGUUAUCUAAUUGGCCCAAAUUACCAUCAAGUUUGAAAUUUGGAAG